GACAGAGGGGGCGAGCGUUGUCCGGAGUCACUGGGCGUAAAGCGCGCGCAGGCGGCAACCUAAGUGUCGUGUGAAAGCCCCCGGCUCAACCGGGGGAGGCCAUGGCAAACUGGGUCGCUCGAGCUGCGGAAAGACCCCUCGAAUUGCCGGUGUAGCGGUGAAAUGCGUAGAGAUCGGCAGGAAGACCAAGGGGGAAGCCAGGGGGCGGGCCGCAGGCUGACGCUGAGGCGCGACAGCGUGGGGAGCAAACCGG
This 253-nucleotide ribosomal RNA is filed under the name uncultured bacterium. Its description in RNAcentral is "partial 16S ribosomal RNA". It matches the Rfam family "Bacterial small subunit ribosomal RNA", at positions 524 to 776 of the family's 1533-position model. The record is from RNAcentral.